RNAcentral lists this ribosomal RNA (573 nucleotides) under uncultured bacterium. RNAcentral's name for it is "partial 16S ribosomal RNA". It matches the Rfam family "Bacterial small subunit ribosomal RNA", at positions 355 to 912 of the family's 1533-position model. The record is from RNAcentral.
UGGGGAAUUUUGGACAAUGGGCGAAAGCCUGAUCCAGCAAUGCCGCGUGUGUGAAGAAGGCCUUCGGGUUGUAAAGCACUUUUGUCCGGAAAGAAAUCCUUGGCUCUAAUACAGUCGGGGGAUGACGGUACCGGAAGAAUAAGCACCGGCUAACUACGUGCCAGCAGCCGCGGUAAUACGUAGGGUGCAAGCGUUAAUCGGAAUUACUGGGCGUAAAGCGUGCGCAGGCGGUUUGCUAAGACCGAUGUGAAAUCCCCGGGCUCAACCUGGGAACUGCAUUGGUGACUGGGCAGGCUAGAGUAUGGCAGGAGGGGGGUAGAAUUCCACGUGUAGCAGUGAAAUGCGUAGAGAUGUGGAGGAAUACCGAUGGCGAAGGCAGCCCCCUGGGGCCAAUACUGACGCUCAUGCACGAAAAGCGUGGGGGAGCAAAACAGGAUUAGAUACCCCUGGUAGUCCAGCGCCCUAAAACGAUGUCAACUAGUUGUUGGGGAUUCAUUUCCUUAGUAACGUAGCUAACGCGUGAAGUUGACCGCCUGGGGAGUACGGUCGCAAGAUUAAAACUCAAAGGAAUUG